Molecule: long non-coding RNA, 1786 nt
Filed under: Cricetulus griseus (Chinese hamster)
Lineage: Eukaryota; Metazoa; Chordata; Mammalia; Rodentia; Cricetidae
Description: lncRNA (ENSCGRG00015033682.1)
Source: RNAcentral
GGUUAGUGGUGCGACAUUUAGGGAAGGCAGAAAGUAGGUCAGGGACGGAGGUGCCUGUUUACCCGCGCCGGACUUGCCGCCGCCGCCGCCGCCGCGGGAACCGAGUGCUGGUGCGGGCGCGGGCGCUCGCGGCGAGCCACGGUGGUGGUGGCUACAGUGUACACUUUUGGAACAAAACUUAAGGUUUCAAAUGUGGAACCCUAGGCCUUCAUUGAACAAGAUGCAGAUGUUUUCCAGAACUUUCUUCAACCUCAGGCAGUAAGUUUUUUGGUGAAUAGUGUUUAGAACCAGAGUCUCUGCCCUCACGCUGCAGUGCGUGAACACAAACCACAGACAGAAAGCACUAGAAAGAAGGGGCCAGGUGACAGGUCUUCAGUCAGCAGGCCUUGAACAUGACUUAUCUAUCUUCCAAGCUACCCUGGGGCUCCUUCUCUGUGCCUCUUUUGAACACAGAAACCUUGUGAGGCUGGGGCUGCCUUAGCUUCUUCCCAGAGAGGAGAUGGCAGGGAUGGAGGGAUACAGCCGACAGCACACAUCAGUGUUUUCUCACAUCAGGCUCUGGUCUGUAAAGAACAAGGCAGGGAACUCCGUUUUUAGCUUCAUGAUGCUGUUAUUCUCCAGGGAACACAGACCAACUCUGGGCUCCAGGCUGGCAGAAAAGGCUUUGGGGCACAGGCCUGGUUCCAGAUGCUCAGGGAAUGACUGAGUGUAUGACUGCCCAGAGGCAAAUGAUAGUGCCCUAACCCCACCCAGAGUGGGAAGCCAGAGACCUCUCAAGUGAAAGUGUGGGACCAGAUCCUCAGAACCUAGGCUAUGACAGCAGCUACAAGGCUGAUAAAUAGUACUUCCUGGGAGAGGACUCAGUAGUGGAAGGAGGCAAAGUCCCAGGGGAGGGGGAAACCCAAGUGGCUUUACAGAGUUUCCUUCAGUGUGUACUUUUAAACUGUGACUGUUAGAUAAAACAUGGUUUGUGGGUGCAUACAGCUGGAGAAGUAGAGAUUCUACUGUCCCUGGACCCCAACACUCUGGAGUGGGGUACCUUAAACAUCCAAGAAUCCCAGCAGAACAGAAAUUUGCCUGUUUAAUUCAGCAUGUAUCAUCAAAGUCCCUGUGCCCAGUAUUGUGUUGGAUCCAGGACUCAAAUGCCUGGUGGGAUUGGGGCUUGAAUUCUGAUCACCAUCUCCUCUUUGAGAGUGCGCUGUACACCCUGCUUUUGUAGAGCCCCAAAAGGCAGUGCCCUUCUUAGCUGGUUCUUGGACUCUAGUUCCUUUUCUCACACUGAGGAAAUAAUUGUCUCUCUGGCUGCUUGUCCAUUCAGUUACUUCAUGGUGACGUCUGUCUGCUCCACCUUCAUCCUGGGCCACUUGAGUAGGGCAGCUGUUCCGCACAGCCAUGGCACUGGAAGGCUGCACACCCAUAGUGAAGACCAGGAGUUCUUCCUGAAUGCCUGGCGAGGUACAUAGCUUGCUUACUCUCAACUCACUCCUCAGGGAGAAAGAGUCAUUUGGCAUGACUGUGUCUGUGCUGGGCUAGGAGCAGGCCUUAUAGGAAAUUACAGACCAGACUGUUCUGUGAGGCCAACCUAUCCUGUGGCUCCUCCCCAGAGCCCCACCAUUCUGGGUUAGCUCUCAGUACCAUCCAAGAGUGGAAUUCUGUGGACUUCCCUCCUUCCACUGCAUUUGAGGGCCUUUGGACAAAGGAAUGCUCUGUCUUUAUUCACACAGAGCCCAGUAUUCACAAGUCCAGCCCCAUAGCUCCAAAUGAUCUCAUUUAUGUUCAACCUCAG